Molecule: long non-coding RNA, 271 nt
Filed under: Homo sapiens (human)
Lineage: Eukaryota; Metazoa; Chordata; Mammalia; Primates; Hominidae
Description: HSALNT0232639
Source: RNAcentral
CUUUGCGUCUGGAAAGGCCCAGCUCAUCCAGGAGAGAGUCUGUUGCAACCCCACAAGAGGGCAGCAAGCCAUUACCUUGCACCUUUCUAAAAUGGGAAGCCAGCUGUCACCAGUUCUGGCAGUUUCAACAGUCAAAGCUCUUUCUACUGUUGAAACAGAAUUGGCCUCCUUUAACUUGCACCCACUGGUCCUGAUUUGACUCUUCGCAGCUCUGCAGAAUACAUCUUCCAAAAUUUCAAGACAGUUCCCUUUCACACAGGCUCUCUUGCCC